RNAcentral lists this ribosomal RNA (478 nucleotides) under uncultured bacterium. RNAcentral's name for it is "partial 16S ribosomal RNA". The record is from RNAcentral.
CAUGGUGUGACGGGCGGUGUGUACAAGGCCCGGGAACGUAUUCACCGUGGCAUUCUGAUCCACGAUUACUAGCGAUUCCGACUUCAUGGAGUCGAGUUGCAGACUCCAAUCCGGACUACGACAUACUUUAUGAGGUCCGCUUGCUCUCGCGAGGUCGCUUCUCUUUGUAUAUGCCAUUGUAGCACGUGUGUAGCCCUACUCGUAAGGGCCAUGAUGACUUGACGUCAUCCCCACCUUCCUCCAGUUUAUCACUGGCAGUCUCCUUUGAGUUCCCGGCCGGACCGCUGGCAACAAAGGAUAAGGGUUGCGCUCGUUGCGGGACUUAACCCAACAUUUUCACAACACGAGCUGACGACAGCCAUGCAGCACCUGUCUUCAGAGUUNCCGANGCACCAAAGCAUCUCUGCUNAGUUCUCUGGAUGUCAAGAGGUAGGUAAGGUUCUUCGCGGUUGCAUCCGAAUUAAACCACAUGCUCACG